RNAcentral lists this ribosomal RNA (350 nucleotides) under Eukaryota sp. Its description in RNAcentral is "SSU rRNA". It matches the Rfam family "Eukaryotic small subunit ribosomal RNA", at positions 1325 to 1699 of the family's 1831-position model. The record is from RNAcentral.
GCGUUAACGAACGAGACCUUAACCUGCUAAAUAGCCCGUACUGCUUUGGCAGUUCGCCGGCUUCUUAGAGGGACUAUCGGCUCAAGCCGAUGGAAGUUUGAGGCAAUAACAGGUCUGUGAUGCCCUUAGAUGUCCUGGGCCGCACGCGCGUUACACUGACAGAGCCAGCGAGUAUUUCCUUGGCCGGAAGGUCCGGGUAAUCUUGUUAAACUCUGUCGUGCUGGGGAUAGAGCAUUGCAAUUAUUGCUCUUCAACGAGGAAUCCCUAGUAAGCGCAAGUCAUCAGCUUGCGUUGAUUACGUCCCUGCCCUUUGUACACACCGCCCGUCGCUAGUACCGAUUGAAUGGAUA